RNAcentral lists this ribosomal RNA (437 nucleotides) under uncultured bacterium. RNAcentral describes it as "bacterial SSU rRNA". It matches the Rfam family "Bacterial small subunit ribosomal RNA", at positions 958 to 1400 of the family's 1533-position model. The record is from RNAcentral.
AACGCGAAGAACCUUACCGGGGCUUGACAUCAGGCGACCAUUCUAGAAGUAGAGUUUCCCCGCAAGGGGACGCCUAGACAGGUGCUGCAUGGCUGUCGUCAGCUCGUGCCGUGAGGUGUUGGGUUAAGUCCCGCAACGAGCGCAACCCUCGUCGUGUGUUGGUCCAAAAGAUCUCUCACACGAGACCGCCGAUGAGAAGUCGGAGGAAGGUGGGGAUGACGUCAAGUCAGCAUGGCCCUUAUGUCCCGGGCUACACACGUGCUACAAUGGGCAGGACAACGAGCCGCAAACUCGCGAGGGUAAGCCAAUCUCUUAAACCUGUCCUCAGUUCGGAUUGAAGGCUGCAACUCGCCUUCAUGAAGUCGGAAUCGCUAGUAAACGCAGAUCAGCUACGCUGCGUUGAAUACGUUCCCGGGCCUUGUACACACCGGUAUCUC